This 431-nucleotide ribosomal RNA is filed under the name uncultured bacterium. RNAcentral describes it as "partial 16S ribosomal RNA". It matches the Rfam family "Bacterial small subunit ribosomal RNA", at positions 29 to 507 of the family's 1533-position model. The record is from RNAcentral.
AACGAACGCUGGCGGCGGGCUUAACACAUGCAAGUCGAACGCCCCGCAAGGGGAGUGGCAGACGGGUGAGUAACGCGUGGGAACAUUCCCUUUUCUACGGAAUAGCUCUGGGAAACUGGAAUUAAUACCGUAUACGCCCUACGGGGGAAAGAUUUAUCGGGGAAGGAUUGGCCCGCGUUGGAUUAGCUAGUUGGUGGGGUAAAGGCCUACCAAGGCGACGAUCCAUAGCUGGUCUGAGAGGAUGAUCAGCCACAUUGGGACUGAGACACGGCCCAAACUCCUACGGGAGGCAGCAGUGGGGAAUAUUGGACAAUGGGCGCAAGCCUGAUCCAGCCAUGCCGCGUGAGUGAUGAAGGCCUUAGGGUUGUAAAGCUCUUUCACCGAUGAAGAUAAUGACGGUAGUCGGAGAAGAAGCCCCGGCUAACUUCGUG